This 117-nucleotide small RNA is filed under the name Marmota monax (woodchuck). Lineage: Eukaryota; Metazoa; Chordata; Mammalia; Rodentia; Sciuridae. The record is from RNAcentral.
GCCAGGUAUGGAGGUGUGUACCUGUAAUUCUAGCUACUCAGGAGGCUGUUGCAGGAGGAUUGCGUGGGCCUGGAAAUUCAAGGCCAGCCUGGGUAACAUAGUGAUACCCUUUCUCUU